GCACCUUUAGCUCAGCUGGAUAGAGCGCUGCCCUCCGAAGGCAGAGGCCAGAGGUUCGAAUCCUCUAAGGUGCA
RNAcentral lists this transfer RNA (74 nucleotides) under Celeribacter halophilus. RNAcentral's name for it is "Pseudoruegeria sp. ZXM137 tRNA". It matches the Rfam family "tRNA". From Rfam's summary of the family: Transfer RNA (tRNA) molecules are approximately 80 nucleotides in length. Their secondary structure includes four short double-helical elements and three loops (D, anti-codon, and T loops). Further hydrogen bonds mediate the characteristic L-shaped molecular structure. tRNAs have two regions of fundamental functional importance: the anti-codon, which is responsible for specific mRNA codon recognition, and the 3' end, to which the tRNAs corresponding amino acid is attached (by aminoacyl-tRNA synthetases). tRNAs cope with the degeneracy of the genetic code in two manners: having more than one tRNA (with a specific anti-codon) for a particular amino acid; and 'wobble' base-pairing, i.e. permitting non-standard base-pairing at the 3rd anti-codon position. Lineage: Bacteria; Pseudomonadati; Pseudomonadota; Alphaproteobacteria; Rhodobacterales; Roseobacteraceae. The record is from Rfam by way of RNAcentral.